GACAACUNACAUUAUUUCAUCCGCCCGGGAACUACGAGCCGCAGCUUAAAACCCAAAGGACUUGGCGGUGCCCCAAACCCACCUAGAGGAGCCUGUUCUAUAAUCGAUACCCCCCGCUUAACCUCACCACCCCUCGCCAGCAGCCUAUAUACCACCGUCGCCAGCCCACCUCAUGAGAGAAAACAAGUAGGCAUAAUGGUAACCACCAAAACGUCAGGUCAAGGUGUAGCCUAUGGGGCGGAAAGCAAUGGGCUACACUUUCUACACAGAAAACUACGGAAGACUAUUGUGAAACCUAGUCUGAAGGCGGAUUUAGUAGUAAAAAGAUUCAAGAGUGUUCUUUUUAAUCUGGCCCUGGGGCGCGCA
This 366-nucleotide ribosomal RNA is filed under the name Alytes obstetricans (midwife toad). RNAcentral describes it as "partial 12S ribosomal RNA". It matches the Rfam family "Bacterial small subunit ribosomal RNA", at positions 848 to 1385 of the family's 1533-position model. Lineage: Eukaryota; Metazoa; Chordata; Amphibia; Anura; Alytidae. The record is from RNAcentral.